CCUGUCCAUCCACAGCAGCUCCAAUACCUUCAGGUACUACUGAGUCACCCUGUCCAUCCACAGCAGCUCCAAAACCUUCAGGUACUACUGAGUCACCCUGUCCAUCCACAGCAGCUCCAAUACCUUCAGGUACUACUGAGUCACCCUCACACCAUGACACUGUAGCAGCUCUUAUACCCUCAGGUACUACUGAGUCACCCUGUCCAUCCACAGCAGCUCCAAUACCUUCAGGUACUACUGAGUCACCCUGUCCAUCCACAGCAGCUCCAAUACCUUCAGGUACUACUGAGUCACCCUGUCCAUCCACAGCAGCUCCAAUACCUUCAGGUACUACUGAGUCACC
This is a non-coding RNA of Oncorhynchus mykiss (rainbow trout), 343 nucleotides long. NCBI's taxonomy places the organism in Eukaryota, Metazoa, Chordata, Actinopteri, Salmoniformes, Salmonidae. The record is from RefSeq and is a predicted model, not a curated record.